This 322-nucleotide long non-coding RNA is filed under the name Malus domestica (apple). RNAcentral's name for it is "long non-coding RNA (MDOM_LNC001728)". The record is from RNAcentral. Lineage: Eukaryota; Viridiplantae; Streptophyta; Magnoliopsida; Rosales; Rosaceae.
CAUUCAUGGAGCUAUUAUGAGUUUUCAUGGUGUUCUUGAAGUUCUUGCCAAGAACAAAAAGGUUUGAAGUUUUGAUUCAAAAGUUUUAUGUUUUUCAUAAAGUUUUGGUUUAAUUUUGAUGGGUGAAAGUUAUUGGUGAAGCAUUAAUUUUGGCUUUAAUGUUUGUCUAAACUCAUUAAUGUUUUACAAAACAUUUUCUUACAAACCAUCAAUUUCACCUUUACCUCACCCACCAAAAUCAAGUUGCAUAAAACCCUUUCACACUCAUUCACACUCCAAAAGUUUUGAUACUUUUGUGUAUUUGCACUUUGGCCCAAAAGUU